RNAcentral lists this microRNA precursor (108 nucleotides) under Brugia malayi. RNAcentral's name for it is "microRNA bma-mir-9514 precursor". Lineage: Eukaryota; Metazoa; Nematoda; Chromadorea; Rhabditida; Onchocercidae. The record is from miRBase by way of RNAcentral.
CUGUACCAUUCAUCCCGAGAUGUAUUCAACGCCUUAUUUUUAAUUAUGCCGAAGUUUGAUUUAUUAAAAAGAAGGCAUUGAAUAUCUACCGGGAUGAAAUGGUACAGG